GACAGAGGGGGCAAGCGUUGCUCGGAAUUACUGGGCGUAAAGGGCGCGUAGGCGGGAUGGCAAGUCGGUCGUGAAAUCCCUCGGCUCAACUGAGGAUCGUCGAUCGAUACUGCCGUUCUUGAGGAUUGCAGAGGAGACUGGAAUUCCCGGUGUAGCGGUGAAAUGUGUAGAGAUCGGGAGGAACACCGGUGGCGAAGGCGGGUCUCUGGGCAAUUCCUGACACUGAGGCGCGAAAGCGUGGGGAGCAAACGGG
RNAcentral lists this ribosomal RNA (253 nucleotides) under uncultured bacterium. RNAcentral's name for it is "partial 16S ribosomal RNA". It matches the Rfam family "Bacterial small subunit ribosomal RNA", at positions 524 to 776 of the family's 1533-position model. The record is from RNAcentral.